GGAAAAUGCUUACAGCAGCCUCUGUUUGAGGGCUCAUGGAGAGGUAGACUCAGCGUGUAAAAAUGUUAGCAGUCUGGUUGACAUUGCAGCUCUGGCAGGAGCUUCACACAGACUGAAAAUAGCAGCUGGGGAGGUGGGAGGUCACUGGAGCCCCUGCUCUUUGCACACCAGGAGGAGUGACCCAGCGAGGCCGGGACUUGUAUGGGGGCACCAAGCUGCCAGGGCAGGGUGUGACUCUUUGGGAGAGCCACAGAGCACCGGUGGGUGUGAGCUCUGUGUAUGUGGCUCAGGGAGGAGGAUCCUCCUGGGGGUAAAGAUCAAGUAGCUGAGGGAAAUGCCUCUUCUGUAGGGCCUCUGCAGUGGCUCUCCCCGAGGCUCUCACAGCUCAGGCUUCAUGGGCUGAGGAAGACUUCUGCCCGGUGCAACGGCAUGAGGAGGUGCCCCUCCAGUGGUGCGGGCAGGUCGCACUGUGGCAGGUACAGGGCGUCAGCACAGCUGGACGCAAUGCUGGCCAUCAGCACACCCGUGUCAGCAGCAGGAGGUAGACAUGAAAUGCCUGUAACGGCCUUUGAAAGUGUGGCAAAGACAUCACAGCAUCUCUGAGAACAGACGGUUAUGAACCCCUGGCUCUUGUGCUGAUAAUGAAACCACAUUUCCUACCAGGCGCUGGAAGAAACAGCCUUUGUGAAUUGUGAGGCUGUGAACACUGGGUCACUGCAAGAUGAAUUAAGAGAUGUACGACCAGUGGUUCCAGGCCAAAGUGUCCCCUUGCUGUCCAUUCUUGGCUGAAGGACACUUUUCACGACUAUCACUGAAGAACAGCUGCUGCUCCCAGGUGGAAGAAGCAGUGCCUGGAGUCAUACGCCCACUCCUCUUUUCAUGAAGCUGCUCUGCUGACAGACCUGUGCACACACUGCACAUCAGGAAAUUGUCAGGACCUUGCACAAAGGCCUUCCUUGCUGCCCUGACCACCAGCAGGCUGUACCUCGGGCCUGCCUCAGCCACUGCUGUGGCUGGUUACCAAUGCAGGACCUGCUCUGCUCCUCUGGCAUGGUGGGACUGCACCUUCAGGAGGUUUGAGGCUCAAACUGAACAAAGCAGAUGUGAAUUCUCCAUUAUUUUGGAGCGCAGACAUCUAUAAAUGUCUCAGAUCCUUCACUGGACGGGACCAGGCUGACCUGGAUGCGUGAGCUCCUGGCUGAGCUUCUUUGGACUGCGCACCAUGAGAGUCCUCUUCCAACAAAUGGUCUUAGCAUGUAUGAAGCAAAUAAAAAAC
RNAcentral lists this long non-coding RNA (1276 nucleotides) under Gallus gallus (chicken). RNAcentral describes it as "lncRNA (ENSGALG00010025033.1)". Lineage: Eukaryota; Metazoa; Chordata; Aves; Galliformes; Phasianidae. The record is from RNAcentral.